RNAcentral lists this non-coding RNA (26 nucleotides) under Rattus norvegicus (Norway rat). The record is from RNAcentral. Lineage: Eukaryota; Metazoa; Chordata; Mammalia; Rodentia; Muridae.
UAGCAAGUCUUAGCGGGAGGGAGUCU